UACGAAGGGGGCUAGCGUUGUUCGGAAUCACUGGGCGUAAAGGGUGCGUAGGCGGGUUCUUAAGUCAGGGGUGAAAUCCCGGGGCUCAACCUCGGAACUGCCUUUGAUACUGGGGUCCUUGAGUCCGGAAGAGGUGAGUGGAACUGCGGGUGUAGCGGUGAAAUUCGUAGAUAUUCGCAAGAACACCGGUGGCGAAGGCGGCUCACUGGUCCGGAACUGACGCUGAGGCACGACAGCGUGGGGAGCAAACAGG
This 253-nucleotide ribosomal RNA is filed under the name uncultured bacterium. RNAcentral's name for it is "partial 16S ribosomal RNA". It matches the Rfam family "Bacterial small subunit ribosomal RNA", at positions 524 to 776 of the family's 1533-position model. The record is from RNAcentral.